RNAcentral lists this ribosomal RNA (163 nucleotides) under uncultured bacterium. RNAcentral's name for it is "partial 16S ribosomal RNA". It matches the Rfam family "Bacterial small subunit ribosomal RNA", at positions 355 to 510 of the family's 1533-position model. The record is from RNAcentral.
UAGGGAAUCUUCCACAAUGGACGAAAGUCUGAUGGAGCAACGCCGCGUGAGUGAAGAAGGGUUUCGGCUCGUAAAACUCUGUUGUUAAAGAAGAACAUAUCUGAGAGUAACUGUUCAGGUAUUGACGGUAUUUAACCAGAAAGCCACGGCUGACUACGUGCCA